GGGAGUCACAGAGGGGUCUGCUGGCUGCUUAUGGGCAACACUCUGGCAACUUAUUGGCAGCUGUGAACCUCCUGCAAGAACCAAAAAAGCUUAAUAUCCUCUGCAACAUCCACUCAGAUCAGCUGACGAGAUUCUCUUGCAUUCCUUCACCAGCCCUCUCUUUCUUGCUCAUAGCACACGACAUGAUGCAAACCCACUUGCUGCUUGUCCCCCAGGUGCUCAGAGGUUCCCUUCUGAUUACACAAAUUAAAAGUGACUUCUACAAAUCUGGAAGAGAUGUGCUGCACACACUUCUCAGCACAGCACAUGGCAGCCUUUGAAACAGCCCAGCGUAAGAUUAUGUAGACUGUAUGGCAUGAACAAGGUCCAAGGCAGAUGCCGAACAUCACGAAACCUGAGCCAGAAAAUCAUUUGAUCUUCCAUAGUGAAGCAGACCUUACAGAAGUUAGCG
This is a long non-coding RNA of Cyanistes caeruleus (blue tit), 451 nucleotides long. RefSeq lists it as uncharacterized. The record is from RefSeq and is a predicted model, not a curated record. Lineage: Eukaryota; Metazoa; Chordata; Aves; Passeriformes; Paridae.